UACAGAGGUCCCGAGCGUUGUUCGGAUUUACUGGGCGUAAAGGGUGCGUAGGUGGCGCGGCAAGUCUGAUGUGAAAUCUCCGGGCUCAACCCGGAAACGGCAUUGGAAACUGCCGGGCUGGAGGAUCGGAGGGGGGACUGGAAUUCCCGGUGUAGCAGUGAAAUGCGUAGAUAUCGGGAGGAACACCGGUGGCGAAGGCGGGUCCCUGGACGAAUCCUGACACUGAGGCACGAAAGCUGGGGGAGCAAACAGG
Molecule: unclassified non-coding RNA, 253 nt
Filed under: uncultured Verrucomicrobiota bacterium
Lineage: Bacteria; Pseudomonadati; Verrucomicrobiota
Description: uncultured Verrucomicrobia bacterium contains 16S-23S intergenic spacer region
Rfam family: Bacterial small subunit ribosomal RNA
Source: RNAcentral